AAAAUGAAAUUCUAAAAAGUUUUUCAAAUAAUAAUCUAACUUCAGUAGCAGCAUAAUAAUGGGAAGCUAAAAACUAAUUUUUCAUUAUUAUCAGAACCAACAGCUAUAACCCAUUUAAUGGAUAAUUGCCACAAUAAGCUUUGACUUAUUGCUUGUACUUUUCAAUUCAAAUACAAUCCUUUAAGGUAAUCUCAACCGUCAAAACAACAACAACAAGAGCUUAGACAAGGUUUGCACCAAAAAUCACUUCCAAUAUGCUCAAUUUCAUGACCAAGCAAAUCCCCAUGCAUAGAAAUGAUAGUCACCUACACAUUUUUCAACCUCAUUACUCCUUAGCCCCCGAGACACAAGUAAAUAGCAACAUCUUAAAUAUGCCAGACAUUUUCUAUCCCACUUCACAUGAAAAGAAAAUCUGAAAGGCUUAUUGAGAGGUUAACAUUCUUGCAGCAAAUUCUUAAUAAAUAAAUAGAAAAGAACAAUCACCUUCUCAAAAGCAACAAUCAAGUU
This 507-nucleotide unclassified non-coding RNA is filed under the name Hevea brasiliensis (rubber tree). Lineage: Eukaryota; Viridiplantae; Streptophyta; Magnoliopsida; Malpighiales; Euphorbiaceae. The record is from RNAcentral.